Long non-coding RNA from Solanum dulcamara, 281 nucleotides. RefSeq lists it as uncharacterized. NCBI's taxonomy places the organism in Eukaryota, Viridiplantae, Streptophyta, Magnoliopsida, Solanales, Solanaceae. The transcript has 3 exons. The record is from RefSeq and is a predicted model, not a curated record.
CGUUUAUUUCUUUAACAAACACAUCUAACUUCUAAUAGCAGGACCUAAGGAGCUAACUCGAGACAUGUGUCCUUGAUCUCAUUACAAAUUCAACUGUACCGUUUUCCCGGUAAACGAAGAUUCAUCUUACGUGGGAGGCAUAAAGAACCCGGAGGAAAAGGACACCCCUCCUGUUCUACACAGUUAAUUGCAGAAGUUUUUCAUGAGAGCAGGUUGAAGAUGUAAGAGGAAUUCAGGGUGUAACCUUGAUGCCUUCAUUUAUAGCCCAUGCUUUUAACAUG